CCUACGGGAGGUAGCAGUGGGGAAUAUUGGGCAAUGGGCGCAAGCCUGACCCAGCAACGCCGCGUGAAGGAAGAAGGCUUUCGGGUUGUAAACUUCUUUUCUCAGGGACGAAGCAAGUGACGGUACUUGAGGAAUAAGCCACGGCUAACUAAGUGCCAGCAGCCGCGGUAAUACGUAGGCGGCAAGCGUUCUCCGGAUGUACUGGGUGUAAAGGGCGGGUAGGCGGGACUGCAAGUCAGAUGGGAAAACCACGGGCUCAACCUGUGGCCUGCAUUUGAAACUGUAGUUCUUGAGUACUGGAGAGGCAGACGGAAUUCCUGGUGUAGCGGUGAAAUGCGUAGAUAUUAGGAGGAACACCAGUGGCGAAGGCGGUCUGCUGGAUAGCAACUGACGCUGAGGCGCGAAAGCGUGGGGAGCAAACAGGAUUAGAUACCCGAGUAGUC
This 443-nucleotide ribosomal RNA is filed under the name uncultured bacterium. RNAcentral describes it as "partial 16S ribosomal RNA". It matches the Rfam family "Bacterial small subunit ribosomal RNA", at positions 338 to 795 of the family's 1533-position model. The record is from RNAcentral.